This 2618-nucleotide long non-coding RNA is filed under the name Homo sapiens (human). Its description in RNAcentral is "HSALNT0060849". The record is from RNAcentral. Lineage: Eukaryota; Metazoa; Chordata; Mammalia; Primates; Hominidae.
GGAAGUUGCAGUGAGCCAAAAUCGCAGCAUUAGACUCCAGCCUGGGCAACAAGAGUGAAAAUUCAUCUCAAAAUAAAUAAAUAAAUAAAGUCCAUGUAAGAGGAGAUUGAGAGGGUAGAAAGUUCACCAGGGAGGAGUAUUUCAAGUAGAAGAAACAGAAGAAGCUGAGAGCUUUGGGACAUUGACAGACAGCGUGGUUGGUGUGGUCCAGGAGAGCUGGAACCUACCUGGUCUUGAUCUGCCCUAACAAGUGGAGCCUGACAACACCUGUGCAUCACCAAAGAAAGGUGCCAAGCCCUGGUCACCCAGAGGGCCUCUCCCACUAGGUUCUACAGAGAAGCUCACAGAAGACAUGGGAUGUUGGUCCUACUGAAAAAGCAGGCAAGCUGGGGGAAUACAAUCAUGUCAGGAAUGCAGGCACAGACAUCAUCUUCUCUCAUCACUGUCCACGGUCCGCACACCAAGACCUAUCACUUUAGACACAAACCUUCCCAGGACCAGGACAAGAGAGAUGAACUCUAAGGAUGAAGCUGCCGCAUAACUCUGUGAUUAACACACACUGACUCUGGACGUCAGGGGAGAUUAAAGGAGGGAUCAGAUGCUUUUGAAGAGAAGGUGGCCAUCUGGAAGGUGCAGGUGCAAGGUGGUGGAGGCUGAAAGGUGGCAGAUGGCUUGGUUCUGUGAAGGCAAAUUAGGGAACACAGAAGACGACAGAUGGGCAGGUGUUGGGUCAUUGUGAAAGGGAUUUGCCCAAGUGAAACAAAGAUUUUUUUUUCUAUUUAAAUUUGGGUCAAGCACAAGGAUUUCAUCACUAUUUAUUAACUGGCUUUCAAACUUUGCCUACGAACAAAGUGGAAAUCUCUUUAUUGCAGAUUAAUUUGGGAAACAACUCAAGCAAUAAAAAGGAGAGGAGAGGCAAGGUUGACCUACCAUACCUUAUUUGCAAUUCUAAAAGGUAAAACAGUUCUGAAAAUUAAAUUAAAAAAAAACGGAUUUGACAGCAUAACCUGACUUCAACUGACCUCUUUGUCAUCUUUAUUCCAUGUAGUGUGAACAUUUGAUGCAGAAAUGUUGAUGCGUUUGACUAUUGAGUACUGCCCAGACCCCACUAGGGUUUUACGUAAUAUGGGUAAUAUGCUCUAUAUUAUCUUUCUAAAGUCCAAAAAGUUCAAGAUUUUGAAACACACCUGGUCCCCAGGGUUUGUUCACAGAUCCCACUUACCUCCAAGACAAGUGAGAAUGUAUGCUCAGCAGGCUGCCCGGUGCUGGCCUCAGCAUGGGAUGCUCAGGUGUGAGCAAGUGGAAAGGGCUUUGAAGAAAGGAUACAGCUCUUUGUAUGGGUACAUUUGCCAGGGAGGGGAGCAGUGUGUAAAUGCUCCACUAGACUGGGGGAUGUGAAAUUGACAAAGAGGGAGAGAAGCCCUUAGGAAAGGCAUCCUCCUGAGUGAAAUGGUAAUUCACUUUGAGAUGGUGCUAAUAAUUAAAACAUUUUUUAUGGCAUUUUAAGAAACAUCUAUUAGGCCCACAUGUGAAGCUACUCACAACUCCUUGUAACAUACAUUUCAGAAAUGUUGCUGUCCCUUGAUCUGCCUUUCUUAUCUUCAUCAGGUGGGUCCCCCAUCCCUAGCCCUGCUUAUGGCCUCCUCAGGAGGGCCAGCGAGGACGAUGGCUGAGGUGGGAGGGCAGGGAGCCAGGAGGAUCACUAUAAAUAGAGUCCACCUUCUCCAUUCUUCUCACUGAGCCACUUCUGAGCUUUCCAAAACAACUGCAGCAGCAGCAGCUGCCGCUUCAGCAGCCACAGAAGUGUUGGUGUCACCAGGACACAGCCUCAGGUAAGAGAAGGGGCAUGGCUGCAGAGGGGCAAAGUCUGAGGGGCUGUGUUGGUGCUGAGCUUCAGGGCAGCCUUAUGAGAAAUACCUACAGAGGUCUCAUAAUAAAAGAGAAAAUGUAACAAUUUCUUGGAAAUUUUUUUUUAAAAAACAGAGCUUCAUUCUAAAAGGAAAUGUCUCACAUGGAUCUUAUGCAGAGAAGCCUGAGCGACUUGCACUUUCAACAAUGGUUUUGUCAUAGAUGUAAAGGUAAUUUUUUUGAUGAUUUUUUUGUUAAUAGAAGAGCUUAAUAGAAGACCUUAAAUGAGGUUCUGGACCAGUGAUGCUGAGAGGGCCACCAUUUCUACACACUCUCUAUGACAGAGGAUGCAGGAGCAGAACAUGCUAGGGUCUCCUCCUACACAGGGCUCAUGGAGAGAUGCUGAUGAGGACAGACUUCUAGGUAGGAGAGGAUAAGGUUCUGGGUGGGGAACCUGGAGCCCUCAGGGAACCGGGACAAAUGGGAGGAGUCUCCAUAGCCACCUUCUGUCUGAUUGCAUCAAAGGAAGACUGCUACCGAGUGAUGGAUGAGCUGGGGUAGGAAGUAGAGCUCUUCAUCACUGGAGGUGUUUAAGCAGAGGCUGGUAACUCCUUGACAGAUACACUGAAGAAAGGUUUCAUGAAUCAGCUGGGGGAUUAAAAUAUUACAUUGGUGCAAAGUUAUUUUCAUCAGGAAAGACAGGAGGGAGUGUUUCCAAAUCUCAGGGUGGAGGUCGGCAACAAAUUACUACUGUCUUUGCAGCCACUGAU